Molecule: unclassified non-coding RNA, 361 nt
Filed under: uncultured bacterium
Lineage: Bacteria
Description: contains 16S-23S intergenic spacer region
Source: RNAcentral
UCCCCCGUGAGGGGGCAGUCUCGCCUGACAUAUAAAACAGGCAACGCGGGUUACGUUCGUUACCCCACUGAAGGGAACAACUCAAGCCACGAACUGACGACGACCAUGCAUCACCUGCCCAGCCGUCUUGCGAAAGGUAAAGUUUCCUAAACCGGUCGUCUGGGUUUCAAACCCUGGUGAGGUUCUUCGUUUGUCAUCGAAUUGAGCCGCAUGAUCCACCGCUUGUGCAAGUCCCCGUCUAUUCCUUUGAGUUUUAAUCUUGCGAUCGUACUACCCAGGCGCCUAACUUAACGCGUUAGCUUCGUCACAAAGAGGGUCGAUACUCCUUAUAACCAGUUAGGAUCGUUUAGGGCGUGGACUA